This 254-nucleotide ribosomal RNA is filed under the name uncultured bacterium. RNAcentral's name for it is "partial 16S ribosomal RNA". It matches the Rfam family "Bacterial small subunit ribosomal RNA", at positions 524 to 776 of the family's 1533-position model. The record is from RNAcentral.
UACGUAGGGUGCAAGCGUUGUCCGGAAUUAUUGGGCGUAAAGAGCUCGUAGGCGGUUUGUCGCGUCUGCCGUGAAAGUCCGGGGCUCAACUCCGGAUCUGCGGUGGGUACGGGCAGACUAGAGUGAUGUAGGGGAGACUGGAAUUCCUGGUGUAGCGGUGAAAUGCGCAGAUAUCAGGAGGAACACCUAUUGCGAAGGCAGCUCGCUGGGACGUAACUGACGCCUGAGACGCGAAAGCGUGGGGAGCAAACAGG